RNAcentral lists this transfer RNA (74 nucleotides) under Candidatus Yanofskybacteria bacterium RIFCSPLOWO2_01_FULL_49_25. RNAcentral's name for it is "tRNA-Ala". It matches the Rfam family "tRNA". From Rfam's summary of the family: Transfer RNA (tRNA) molecules are approximately 80 nucleotides in length. The record is from RNAcentral. Lineage: Bacteria; Candidatus Yanofskyibacteriota.
GGGCCUAUAGUAAAGUGGUAUUACGCGUCGUUCGCAACGACGAGGCGCGAGUCCGAUUCUCGCUAGGUCCACAA